AGAGUUUGAUUCUGGCUCAGGAUGAACGCUGGCGGCGUGCCUAACACAUGCAAGUCGAGCGAGAAGGUUAUGUGAUGCGAUUCGGUCAAAUCUAUAACUGGAAAGCGGCGGACGGGUGAGUAACGCGUAGGCAACCUGCCCUAGCAGGGGAUAGCAUUGGAAACGAUGAUUAAAACCCCAUAACACGGAAUGUUCACAUGUAGAUUCCGUCAAAGAUUUAUCGGCUAAGGAUGGGCCUGCGUCUGAUUAGGCUAGUUGGUGAGGUAACGGCUCACCAAGGCGACGAUCAGUAGCGACCUGAGAGGGUGAUCGGCCACAUUGGAACUGAGACACGGUCCAAACUCCUACGGGAGGCAGCAGUGGGGAAUAUUGCACAAUGGGCGAAAGCCUGAAUGCAGCAACGCCGCGUGAAGGAUGAAGGUCUUCGGAUCGUAAACUUCUGUCCUUGGGGAAGAAGAAAGUGACGGUACCCAUGGAGGAAGCCCCGGCUAACUACGUGCCAGCCGCCGC
RNAcentral lists this ribosomal RNA (510 nucleotides) under uncultured bacterium. RNAcentral describes it as "bacterial SSU rRNA". It matches the Rfam family "Bacterial small subunit ribosomal RNA", at positions 8 to 518 of the family's 1533-position model. The record is from RNAcentral.